UACGGAGGUGACUAGCGUUGUUCGGAAUUACUGGGCGUAAAGCGCGCGUAGGCGGACUAUUAAGUCAGGUGUGAAAUCCCGGGGCUCAACCCCGGAACUGCACUUGACACUGGUAGUCUGGAGUUCUGGAGAGGUGAGUGGAAUUCCGAGUGUAGAGGUGAAGUUCGUAGAUAUUCGGAGGAUCACCAGUGGCGAAGGGGGCUCACUGGCCAGAUACUGACGCUGAGGUGCGACAGUGUGGGGAGCAAACAGG
RNAcentral lists this unclassified non-coding RNA (253 nucleotides) under uncultured Paracoccaceae bacterium. RNAcentral's name for it is "uncultured Rhodobacteraceae bacterium contains 16S-23S intergenic spacer region". It matches the Rfam family "Bacterial small subunit ribosomal RNA", at positions 524 to 776 of the family's 1533-position model. Lineage: Bacteria; Pseudomonadati; Pseudomonadota; Alphaproteobacteria; Rhodobacterales; Paracoccaceae. The record is from RNAcentral.